RNAcentral lists this ribosomal RNA (587 nucleotides) under uncultured bacterium. Its description in RNAcentral is "partial 16S ribosomal RNA". It matches the Rfam family "Bacterial small subunit ribosomal RNA", at positions 355 to 937 of the family's 1533-position model. The record is from RNAcentral.
UGGGGAAUUUUGGACAAUGGGCGAAAGCCUGAUCCAGCAAUGCCGCGUGUGUGAAGAAGGCCUUCGGGUUGUAAAGCACUUUUGUCCGGAAAGAAAUCCUUGGCUCUAAUACAGUCGGGGGAUGACGGUACCGGAAGAAUAAGCACCGGCUAACUACGUGCCAGCAGCCGCGGUAAUACGUAGGGUGCAAGCGUUAAUCGGAAUUACUGGGCGUAAAGCGUGCGCAGGCGGUUUGCUAAGACCGAUGUGAAAUCCCCGGGCUCAACCUGGGAACUGCAUUGGUGACUGGCAGGCUAGAGUAUGGCAGAGGGGGGUAGAAUUCCACGUGUAGCAGUGAAAUGCGUAGAGAUGUGGAGGAAUACCGAUGGCGAAGGCAGCCCCCUGGGCCAAUACUGACGCUCAUGCACGAAAAGCGUGGGGGAGCAAACAGGAUUAGAUACCCUGGUAGUCCACGCCCUAAAACGAUGUCAACUAGUUGUUGGGGAUUCAUUUCCUUAGUAACGUAGCUAACGCGUGAAGUUGACCGCCUGGGGAGUACGGUCGCAAGAUUAAAACUCAAAUGAAUUGACGGGGUCAUAGCUGUUUCC